GAAAUCACAUUAUAUUCAAAUAUAUAUUUGCAUCUAAGAGAAUAUAGAUAUAAGGAAAUAUUUUAUUACUUCAAAAGUAUAUUUUAUGUUAUUUAAAAUAUUUUUAAAGGAAUAUUUAUAUUUUGUGAAUUUUUCUUUUUUUUUACAAAAUCAUAUUAUAGAUACAUAUAUUUUCGUUUUUAAAUUUAUUUUUUAAAAUUUCUAAAUCUUUCCUUUUU
This 218-nucleotide long non-coding RNA is filed under the name Brassica rapa (field mustard). RNAcentral's name for it is "long non-coding RNA (BRAP_LNC007090)". Lineage: Eukaryota; Viridiplantae; Streptophyta; Magnoliopsida; Brassicales; Brassicaceae. The record is from RNAcentral.